CACGUAGGCACCAAGCGUUGUCCGGAUUUAUUGGGCGUAAAGAGCUCGUAGGCGGUUCAGUAAGUCGGGUGUGAAAACUCUGGGCUUAACCCGGAGAGGCCACUCGAUACUGCUGAACUUGAGUACGGUAGGGGAGUGGGGAAUUCCUGGCGUAGCGGUGAAAUGCGCAGAUAUCAGGAGGAACACCGGUGGCGAAGGCGCCACUCUGGGCCGAAACUGACGCUGAGGAGCGAAAGCGUGGGUAGCAAACAGG
RNAcentral lists this ribosomal RNA (253 nucleotides) under uncultured bacterium. Its description in RNAcentral is "partial 16S ribosomal RNA". It matches the Rfam family "Bacterial small subunit ribosomal RNA", at positions 524 to 776 of the family's 1533-position model. The record is from RNAcentral.